Long non-coding RNA from Scatophagus argus, 395 nucleotides. RefSeq lists it as uncharacterized. The transcript is spliced from 3 exons. NCBI's taxonomy places the organism in Eukaryota, Metazoa, Chordata, Actinopteri, Scatophagidae. The record is from RefSeq and is a predicted model, not a curated record.
CAGAAAAAGAUAUUUUGGACUUUGGGGAGAAAGUGUCUCCACCUGGACUCCUGGUGGUUCUUCAUGGUUGAAACCUGCUUACAGAUGGGGCAGUGUCAGCAUCUUCCUUUGUCUUCCAAGGCCCAGAGAGGAGGCGUGGCUCUGCUGCCAGAGUCAGCGGACAUCUGGACCUGGAGCUGUGGUCCUGGAUUGAACAACAGCUGAGGAAUAUAGAUGCAUUGAACUUUGUGUGAGCACCUGCAGUGGACCAAAGCCCAAAAUAUUGCAGACUGGAUCAGGACAACCAACUGCCACACCCUCAAGGACAAACAGAAUUCAUACUGUUUUUGAUAAAGAAAACAAUGUGUUUGUUGACAGUACUGUUGUUAAUGUUCAAAUAAAAUGGAGAUAUUUCA